CCUACGGGUGGCUGCAGUGGGGAAUAUUGGACAAUGGGCGAAAGCCUGAUCCAGCCAUGCCGCGUGUGUGAAGAAGGCCUUCGGGUUGUAAAGCACUUUCAGUGGGGAAGAAAGCCUUGGGGCUAAUACCCUCGAGGAAGGACAUCACCCACAGAAGAAGCACCGGCUAACUCCGUGCCAGCAGCCGCGGUAAUACGGAGGGUGCGAGCGUUAAUCGGAAUUACUGGGCGUAAAGCGCGCGUAGGCGGUCUGAUAAGCCGGUUGUGAAAGCCCCGGGCUCAACCUGGGAACGGCAUCCGGAACUGUCAGGCUAGAGUGCAGGAGAGGAAGGUAGAAUUCCCGGUGUAGCGGUGAAAUGCGUAGAGAUCGGGAGGAAUACCAGUGGCGAAGGCGGCCUUCUGGACUGACACUGACGCUGAGGUGCGAAAGCGUGGGUAGCAAACAGGAUUAGAUACCCGGGUAGUU
RNAcentral lists this ribosomal RNA (465 nucleotides) under Vreelandella stevensii. RNAcentral describes it as "partial 16S ribosomal RNA". It matches the Rfam family "Bacterial small subunit ribosomal RNA", at positions 338 to 795 of the family's 1533-position model. Lineage: Bacteria; Pseudomonadati; Pseudomonadota; Gammaproteobacteria; Oceanospirillales; Halomonadaceae. The record is from RNAcentral.